This 482-nucleotide ribosomal RNA is filed under the name uncultured bacterium. RNAcentral's name for it is "partial 16S ribosomal RNA". It matches the Rfam family "Bacterial small subunit ribosomal RNA", at positions 28 to 507 of the family's 1533-position model. The record is from RNAcentral.
GACGAACGCUGGCGGCGCGCUUAACACAUGCAAGUCGAGCGAUGAAAUCUUAACAUAACCCUUCGUUGUGAAGAUAAGAAGGAGUAGCUGCGGACGGGUGAGUAACACGUUAGUAACCUGCCUUUUACACAGGGAUAGCCUCAGUAAACCGGGAUUAAAACCUGAUGAAACUAUCAAAUCACAUGAUUAAGAAAGUUAACACUCCGGUGGUAAAGCAUGGACUCGCGUCCCAUUAGCUAGAUGGUGAAGGUAACGGACCACCAAGGCAACGAUGUGUAGCUGGCAUGAGAGGAUGACCGAAAACAAUGGAACUGGGAAACGUAGCGAACUCUUGCGGGAGGCAGAAGGGGGGAAUAUUGCACGACGGGGGAAACCCUGAUGCAGCCACGUCGCGUGAGCGAAGUAGUACUUCGGGUCGUAAAGCUCUGUUAUAUGCGAAGAUAAUGACGGUACCAUAAGAAAAAGCCACGGCUAACUACGUG